Molecule: ribosomal RNA, 532 nt
Filed under: Aschersonia sp. F8 SZ-2013
Lineage: Eukaryota; Fungi; Ascomycota; Sordariomycetes; Hypocreales; Clavicipitaceae
Description: eukaryotic LSU rRNA
Rfam family: 5.8S ribosomal RNA (bases 183-336)
Source: RNAcentral
UUCCGUUAGGGGGGCCUGCGGAGGGAUCAUUACCGAGUUUACAACUCCCAAACCCCUGUGAACAUACCUUAUUGUUGCCUCGGCGGAUCAGCCCGCUCCCCGUAAAACGGGACGGCCCGCCAGAGGACCCAAACUCUAUUGUAUUUAGUGUAUCUUCUGAGUAACACAAACAAAUAAAUCAAAACUUUCAACAACGGAUCUCUUGGUUCUGGCAUCGAUGAAGAACGCAGCAAAAUGCGAUAAGUAAUGUGAAUUGCAGAAUUCAGUGAAUCAUCGAAUCUUUGAACGCACAUUGCGCCCGCCAGUAUUCUGGCGGGCAUGCCUGUUCGAGCGUCAUUUCAACCCUCAAACCCCCGGGUUUGGUGUUGGGGAUCGGAUUGCCUAGUCAAUCCGUCUCCGAAAUCUAGUGGCGGUCUCGCUGCAGCCUCCAUUGCGUAGUAGCUAACACCUCGCAACUGGAACGCGGCGCGGCCAUGCCGUUAAACACCCAACUUCUGAAUGUUGACCUCGAUCAGGUACGUAUGGCCCCCCG